CAGUCGACGGUGAAGAGGAGCUUGCUCCUCUGGAUCAGUGGCGAACGGGUGAGUAACACGUGAGUAACCUGCCCUUGACUCUGGGAUAAGCACUGGAAACGGUGUCUAAUACCGGAUACGAGCUUCAGUCGCAUGACUAGGAGCUGGAAAGAAUUUCGGUCAAGGAUGGACUCGCGGCCUAUCAGCUAGUUGGUGAGGUAAUGGCCCACCAAGGCGACGACGGGUAGCCGGCCUGAGAGGGUGACCGGCCACACUGGGACUGAGACACGGCCCAGACUCCUACGGGAGGCAGCAGUGGGGAAUAUUGCACAAUGGGCGCAAGCCUGAUGCAGCAACGCCGCGUGAGGGACGACGGCCUUCGGGUUGUAAACCUCUUUUAGUAGGGAAGAAGCGAAAGUGACGGUACCUGCAGAAAAAGCACCGGCUAACUACGUGCCAGCAGCCGCGGUAAUACGUAGGGUGCAAGCGUUAUCCGGAAUUAUUGGGCGUAAAGAGCUCGUAGGCGGUUUGUCGCGUCUGCUGUGAAAACUGGAGGCUCAACCUCCAGCCUGCAGUGGGUACGGGCAGACUAGAGUGCGGUAGGGGAGAUUGGAAUUCCUGGUGUAGCGGUGGAAUGCGCAGAUAUCAGGAGGAACACCGAUGGCGAAGGCAGAUCUCUGGGCCGUAACUGACGCUGAGGAGCGAGAGCAUGGGGAGCGAA
Molecule: ribosomal RNA, 700 nt
Filed under: uncultured bacterium
Lineage: Bacteria
Description: bacterial SSU rRNA
Rfam family: Bacterial small subunit ribosomal RNA
Source: RNAcentral